AAGUCUGACCGAGCAACGCCGCGUGAGUGAAGAAGGUUUUCGGAUCGUAAAACUCUGUUGUUAGAGAAGAACAAGGAUGAGAGUAACUGUUCAUCCCUUGACGGUAUCUAACCAGAAAGCCACGGCUAACUACGUGCCAGCAGCCGCGGUAAUACGUAGGUGGCAAGCGUUGUCCGGAUUUAUUGGGCGUAAAGCGAGCGCAGGCGGUUUCUUAAGUCUGAUGUGAAAGCCCCCGGCUCAACCGGGGAGGGUCAUUGGAAACUGGGAGACUUGAGUGCAGAAGAGGAGAGUGGAAUUCCAUGUGUAGCGGUGAAAUGCGUAGAUAUAUGGAGGAACACCAGUGGCGAAGGCGGCUCUCUGGUCUGUAACUGA
This 372-nucleotide ribosomal RNA is filed under the name Enterococcus faecium. RNAcentral's name for it is "bacterial SSU rRNA". It matches the Rfam family "Bacterial small subunit ribosomal RNA", at positions 379 to 743 of the family's 1533-position model. The record is from RNAcentral. Lineage: Bacteria; Bacillati; Bacillota; Bacilli; Lactobacillales; Enterococcaceae.